GAGGAAUCUUGGGCAAUGGGCGAAAGCCUGACCCAGCGACGCCGCGUGGAGGAAGAAGGCCUUCGGGUCGUAAACUCCUGUUUGGGGAGAAGAACAAGAGAGAAGUUAAUAGCUUCUCUCUCUGACGGUAUCCCCGGAGAAAGCUCCGGCUAAUUACGUGCCAGCAGCCGCGGUAAUACGUAAGGAGCGAGCGUUGUCCGGAUUUACUGGGCGUAAAGGGCUCGUAGGUGGUUUCUUAGGUCUCACGUGAAAUUCCCUGGCUCAACCAGGGAGGGUCGUGGGAAACCGAGAGGCUAGAGGGCAGGAGAGGAGAGUGGAAUUCCCGGUGUAGCGGUGAAAUGCGUAGAGAUCGGGAGGAACACCAGUGGUGAAGACGGCUCUCUGGACUGUCCCUGACACUGAGGAGCGAAAGCCAGGGGAGCAAACC
RNAcentral lists this ribosomal RNA (427 nucleotides) under uncultured Atribacterota bacterium. RNAcentral describes it as "bacterial SSU rRNA". It matches the Rfam family "Bacterial small subunit ribosomal RNA", at positions 356 to 774 of the family's 1533-position model. Lineage: Bacteria; Pseudomonadati; Atribacterota. The record is from RNAcentral.